UAGUCCACGCCCUAAACGAUGUCAACUAGUUGUUGGGGAAGGAGACUUCUUUAGUAACGUAGCUAACGCGUGAAGUUGACCGCCUGGGGAGUACGGCCGCAAGGUUAAAACUCAAAGGAAUUGACGGGGACCCGCACAAGCGGUGGAUGAUGUGGAUUAAUUCGAUGCAACGCGAAAAACCUUACCUACCCUUGACAUGUGCGGAACUUCUGAGAGAUCAGUAGGUGCCCGAAAGGGAACCGCAACACAGGUGCUGCAUGGCUGUCGUCAGCUCGUGUCGUGAGAUGUUGGGUUAAGUCCCGCAACGAGCGCAACCCUUGUCAUUAGUUGCUACGCGUUAUGGUGAGCACUCUAAUGAGACUGCCGGUGACAAACCGGAGGAAGGUAAGGAUGACGUCAAGUCAGCAUGCCCCUUACGCUCUGGGCUACACACGUGCUACAAUGGUCGUGACAAAGAGUUGCUAGUCUGCGAAGGCAAGCCAAUCUCAUAAACGCGGCCUUAGUUCGGAUUG
This 512-nucleotide ribosomal RNA is filed under the name uncultured bacterium. RNAcentral describes it as "bacterial SSU rRNA". It matches the Rfam family "Bacterial small subunit ribosomal RNA", at positions 791 to 1300 of the family's 1533-position model. The record is from RNAcentral.